This is a long non-coding RNA of Bombus huntii, 1378 nucleotides long. RefSeq lists it as uncharacterized. The transcript has 2 exons. The record is from RefSeq and is a predicted model, not a curated record. NCBI's taxonomy places the organism in Eukaryota, Metazoa, Arthropoda, Insecta, Hymenoptera, Apidae.
ACAGCAACUAGAAGAGGAACAAGAACUGUCCAAGCUGGGUGAAGUCUCGGUUUAUAUACGUUUUGGUUUUAGGAUGUUGAGGGGCUAGGUGUAGGUUAUGAUGUAGAAAAGUGUCCGAAGGUCGGGGGUCCAUAUCCUAUCUCUGAUGUGGACGGAGGUGCGUCACAGCCUUGGUGUAUGCUAUGAUGAUAAGGUGGUGAUGUGUCCAAAAGUGUCCGAAGGUCGGGUGUCGAUGUAUUAUCACUGAUGUAGGUUGAGAUGUGAUUGAUGUCACAAGAGCUUGGUCGAAUAUUAACUUUCAACAACUCUUUUCAAACUCACCAGUCACAAGCCACGGUUUACUGAAUACAUCUUUUUGGAAAAUCCUUUUUAGAUUUUCGUACAAGGAACAUGGUUUGUUUGACAAGGGAUUUUCUUUUGAAGCAAUUUGGGGUGACAAAAAGGUCUUUUUGUUAGGUAGCUUAUCAAUAAAAAUGUUUUAUUAAUGACGUAACUGGAACGAAUACUAACGAAUUUAAAUAGAAUCGACGACCAAAUGGAAUAUAUCUUCUUUUCAAUUUUCAUAAAUCGAAAGCCCUAUGGAUACGUAUAAAUGUUUCUUUUACUCGUAGUAAAUUAUUAUUAUUCUAUUAUACGUGUGUAUACUACAGAAGGACCAUACUAAUAGGCACCAACAGCUUUCAUCUAACAUAAUAUUUUCAUGGAAUCUUAUAAUCAUCUUCGCCUCAUUGUCUCCGAAUAAGUCGUAUUUAACAACAUUUCGAAUUUCGAUUUGUUGAAAAAGCCGCUCAAAUUGAUGCACAAAUUUGACUUCGCAAAUCGCCUUUUUGCACUCCCCGUACUGGCGAGAACGAAGAUAAAUGUUCGGCACUGAGCUACUGCUCAGUUGCUACGAGUUAAUCCUCGUUUUGCUUCAAGUAAAUGAAACGCUCUAAUCUGUAAGACGUCCAUAAGAUUCGGUUGACGGUGGCUGUUUCGUGUUAAUCGGUGUCUCAAUUUUCUAAUUUAAUUAUUGUGCUCGAUUUAAUGACAUGGCGAUCUGGUCCAAAAAAAAAAAAAAAAAGUGACUCCUUUUUUUGCUUUGAUAUAAGAUUUUUAUUUUUACGUAUGAAAUAUGGCGAAGAAGUAGUGACCUCUCUUUUAUCGAUGUAAUCAUAUUAGGGGAACGCAGUAAAUGGCUUCUGCAAUAUCAUGGAACUAUUCGUAUCCCUCGAUUAAUCAAGUUCCCCUAGGUCAGUGGUUCUCAAUUCUUGAAGCGUUUAUCGAUUAAAAAAUAGUUCUAAAUCUUCUUCGAUUUUCUCCAAAGAAUUUUCAAAUUGAAUAUUUAAGACAACAUUUAAUGAAUUCAAAUUGAAACGCCUUAUUUUAUCACGUAAAC